GACGAACGCUGGCGGCGUGCCUAAUACAUGCAAGUCGAACGCUGAAGCGAGGAGCUUGCUCUUCUUGGAUGAGUUGCGAACGGGUGAGUAACGCGUAGAUAACCUGCCUGGUAGCGGGGGAUAACUAUUGGAAACGAUAGCUAAUACCGCAUAACAACAGUUUUUGCAUGACAGCUGUUUAAAAGAUGCAAUUGCAUCACUACCAGAUGGACCUGCGGUGUAUUAGCUAGUUGGUGAGGUAACGGCUCACCAAGGCGGCGAUACAUAGCCGACCUGAGAGGGUGAGCGGCCACACUGGGACUGAGACACGGCCCAGACUCCUACGGGAGGCAGCAGUAGGGAAUCUUCGGCAAUGGGGGGAAACCUGACCGAGCAACGCCGAGGGAGUGAAGAAGGGUUUCGGAUCGGAAAGGUCUGUUGUAAGAGAAGAACGGGUGUGAGAGUGGAAAGUUCACACUGUGACGGUAUCUUACCAGAAAGGGACGGCUAACUACGUG
Molecule: ribosomal RNA, 497 nt
Filed under: uncultured bacterium
Lineage: Bacteria
Description: partial 16S ribosomal RNA
Rfam family: Bacterial small subunit ribosomal RNA
Source: RNAcentral